This 254-nucleotide ribosomal RNA is filed under the name uncultured bacterium. RNAcentral's name for it is "partial 16S ribosomal RNA". It matches the Rfam family "Bacterial small subunit ribosomal RNA", at positions 524 to 776 of the family's 1533-position model. The record is from RNAcentral.
UACGUAGGGUGCGAGCGUUGUCCGGAAUUAUUGGGCGUAAAGAGCUCGUAGGCGGUGUGUCGCGUCGGCCGUGAAAACCUGCAGCUUAACUGUGGGCUUGCGGUCGAUACGGGCAUCACUGGAGUUCGGCAGGGGAGACUGGAAUUCCUGGUGUAGCGGUGAAAUGCGCAGAUAUCAGGAGGAACACCGGUGGCGAAGGCGGGUCUCUGGGCCGAUACUGACGCCGAGGAGCGAAAGCGUGGGGAGCGAACAGG